RNAcentral lists this ribosomal RNA (404 nucleotides) under Microgaster canadensis. Its description in RNAcentral is "partial 16S ribosomal RNA". Lineage: Eukaryota; Metazoa; Arthropoda; Insecta; Hymenoptera; Braconidae. The record is from RNAcentral.
CUGCUCAAUGAAUAAUAAUUUUUAAAUGGCUGCAGUAUUUAUAACUGUACAAAGGUAGCAUAAUAAUUAGUUUUUUAAUUGGAAACUAGAAUGAAAGAUUUAAUGAAAUUUAAACUGUUUCAAAUUUAUUAAAUAAUUUUUUUUUUUAAGUAAAAAAAUUUAAAUAAUUUUUAAAAGACGAGAAGACCCUAUAGAAUUUUUAAUUAAAUUUUUAUAAAAAAUUUUAAAUUCUUAAUUUAAUUGGGGAAAUUUUGAAAUUUAAAAAAUUUUAAUUAAAUAAACAUAAAGUUUUGAAAAAAAAAAUUUUUUAAAAAAAUAAAUUAAAUUACGUUAGGGAUAACAGCAUAAUUUUUUUAAAGUUCUUAUUUAUAAAAAAGUUUAUGACCUCGAUGUUGAAUUAAGAU